GACGAACGCUGGCGGCGUGCUUAACACAUGCAAGUCGAACGGAAAGGCCCUGCUUUUGUGGGGUGCUCGAGUGGCGAACGGGUGAGUAACACGUGAGUAACCUGCCCUUGACUUUGGGAUAACUUCAGGAAACUGGGGCUAAUACCGGAUAGGAGCUCCUGCUGCAUGGUGGGGGUUGGAAAGUUUCGGCGGUUGGGGAUGGACUCGCGGCUUAUCAGCUUGUUGGUGGGGUAGUGGCUUACCAAGGCUUUGACGGGUAGCCGGCCUGGGAGGGUGGCCGGCGACAAUGGGACUGAGAUACGGCGCAGACUCGUACGGGAGGCAACAGUGGGGAGUAUUGCACAGUGGGCGGAAGCGUGAUACGGCAACGCCGGGUGCGGAAUGACGGCCUUCGGGUUGUAAACCGCUUUCGCCUGUGACGAAGCGUGAGUGACGGUAAUGGGUAAAGAAGCACCGGCUAACUACGUG
RNAcentral lists this ribosomal RNA (468 nucleotides) under uncultured bacterium. Its description in RNAcentral is "partial 16S ribosomal RNA". It matches the Rfam family "Bacterial small subunit ribosomal RNA", at positions 28 to 507 of the family's 1533-position model. The record is from RNAcentral.